AGUGAACGCUGGCGGUAGGCCUAACACAUGCAAGUCGAACGGCAGCACAGUAAGAGCUUGCUCUUACGGGUGGCGAGUGGCGGACGGGUGAGGAAUACAUCGGAAUCUACUUUUUCGUGGGGGUUAACGUAGGGAAACUUACGCUAAUACCGCAUACGCCCUACGGGUGAAAGCAGGGGAUCUUCGGACCUUGCGCGAUUGAAUGAGCCGAUGUCGGACUAGCUAGUUGGCGGGGUAAAGGCCCACCAAGGCGACGAUCCGUAGCUGGUCUGAGAGGAUGGUCGGCCACACUGGAACUGAGACACGGUCCAGACUCCUACGGGAGGCAGCAGUGGGGAAUAUUGGGCAAAGGGCGCAAGCCUGAUCCAGCCAUACCGCGUGGGUGAAGAAGGCCUUCGGGUUGUAAAGCCCUUUUGUUGGGAAAGAAAAGCAGCAGGUUAAUACCCCGCUGUUCUGACGGUACCCAAAGAAUAAGCACCGGCUAACUUCGUG
This 492-nucleotide ribosomal RNA is filed under the name uncultured bacterium. RNAcentral's name for it is "partial 16S ribosomal RNA". It matches the Rfam family "Bacterial small subunit ribosomal RNA", at positions 29 to 507 of the family's 1533-position model. The record is from RNAcentral.